GUGUAUCCAAUCCCGUCCAUGUAAUAAAUUGUAGUGGCUAUCUGCAUCCACCACAAAAAAUGCAGUUUUCAAAGUUUUUGAGCCUACCGUAAGUUCAGUGGUGAGUACUCCUCGAGCUUGUUGACCGUUUCCAGUGAAAUCGGUCAUGAUUGAGUCGGUGGGCUUCAACUCGUCCUCAUCUUUGCCCAGCUUCUUGAAAAAAAGAAGUAGGCAUUACAUUGACCAUGGCACCACCAUCUACCAUAACUCGGCCUACUGGCCGACCUUCAAUUAAGGCCUUUAUAAAGAGAGGCCUUAUGAAUCUCGUCUGCAUAGCCGAUGGUUUCUCAAAAACCACUGCAUCGGCUGGUUGAACAUCUUCCAAUUGCAACUGGGCUACUUUAAGCCCAUCUCCCUCUUCUUCUCUGAACUCUUCACACUCGAUAAGCUCUGCCUUAAAAGAUUGAGGCAGAGCAUAUACC
RNAcentral lists this long non-coding RNA (461 nucleotides) under Ananas comosus (pineapple). Its description in RNAcentral is "long non-coding RNA (ACOM_LNC034355)". The record is from RNAcentral. Lineage: Eukaryota; Viridiplantae; Streptophyta; Magnoliopsida; Poales; Bromeliaceae.